Molecule: ribosomal RNA, 443 nt
Filed under: uncultured bacterium
Lineage: Bacteria
Description: partial 16S ribosomal RNA
Rfam family: Bacterial small subunit ribosomal RNA
Source: RNAcentral
CCUACGGGACGCAGCAGUGGGGAAUAUUGGGCAAUGGGCGCAAGCCUGAACCAGCAACGCCGCGUGAAGGAAGAAGGCUUUCGGGUUGUAAACUUCUUUUGUCAGGGACGAAGCAAGUGACGGUACCUGACGAAUAAGCCACGGCUAACUACGUGCCAGAAGCCGCGGUAAUACGUAGGUGGCAAGCGUUAUCCGGAUUUACGGGGGGUAAAGGGGGUGUAGGCGGGACUGCAAGUCAGAUGUGAAAACCACGGGCUCAACCUGUGGCCUGCAUUUGAAACUGUAGUUGUUGAGUACUGGAGAGGCAGACGGAAUUCCUAGUGUAGCGGUGAAAUGCGUAGAUAUUAGGAGGAACACCAGUGGCGAAGGCGGUCUGCUGGACAGCAACUGACGCUGAGGCGCGAAAGCGUGGGGAGCAAACAGGAUUAGAUACCCGGGUAGUC